AUUGAACGCUGGCGGCAUGCCUAACACAUGCAAGUCGAACGAGUGGCGGACGGGUGAGUAAUGUCUGGGAAACUGCCUGAUGGAGGGGGAUAACUACUGGAAACGGUAGCUAAUACCGCAUACCAUCGGAUGUGCCCAGAUGGGAUUAGCUAGUAGGUGGGGUAACGGCUCACCUAGGCGACGAUCCCUAGCUGGUCUGAGAGGAUGACCGGCCACACUGGAACUGAGACACGGUCCAGACUUCUACGGGAGGCAGACGUGGGGAAUAUUGCACAAUGGGAGGAAGCCUGAUGCAGCCAUGCCGGGUGUAUGAAGAAGGCCUCCGGGUUGUAAAGUACUUUCAGCGGGGAGGCGUUACCCGCAGAAGAAGCACCGCCGAACCCCGUGCAAGCAGCCGCGGUAAAC
This 405-nucleotide ribosomal RNA is filed under the name uncultured bacterium. Its description in RNAcentral is "partial 16S ribosomal RNA". It matches the Rfam family "Bacterial small subunit ribosomal RNA", at positions 30 to 525 of the family's 1533-position model. The record is from RNAcentral.